UGGGGAAUCUUGCACAAUGGGGGCAACCCUGAUGCAGCGACGCCGCGUGAGCGAUGAAGCCCUUCGGGGCGUAAAGCUCUUUCGACCGGAACGAUAAUGACGGUACCGGGAGAAGAAGCUGCGGCUAACUACGUGCCAGCAGCCGCGGUAAUACGUAGGCAGCAAGCGUUGUUCGGAGUUACUGGGCGUAAAGAGUGCGUAGGUGGUUUUCUAAGUUCGGUGUGAAAUCUCCCGGCUUAACUGGGAGGGUGCGCCGAAGACUGGGAAGCUGGAGUGUGGGAAAGGCAGGCGGAAUGCCGGGUGUAGCGGUGAAAUGCGUAGAUAUCAGGAGGAACACCGGCGGUGUAGACGGCUUGCUAGACCAUAACUGACGCUGAGGCACGAAAGCGUGGGUAGCAAACA
Molecule: ribosomal RNA, 402 nt
Filed under: uncultured bacterium
Lineage: Bacteria
Description: bacterial SSU rRNA
Rfam family: Bacterial small subunit ribosomal RNA
Source: RNAcentral